GAAAUAUUAUGCCCAAAUCUCCACAGCGCUCUCUCUCUCUCUCUCUCUCUCUCUCUAAGCCCUUAUCAUUCUCAGAGCGAUUUCGAGAUUCAGAGGCUCCACCGCCAUCACCAUCUGCACCGGCGAGGUAGAGAUUCAGAUCGGUCUUAGUGAUUUCAUCUCAGAGCGAUUUCGAUUUCGAUUUCGAAGCUCCACCUCCACCACCAUCUGCACCAUCGUCUACUAAGGAAUGGACCAGUUUAUUGGUAAAAUGGAAGUUCCAGGGAGCUUUAGUCCUUAUCAGCACGGGG
Non-coding RNA from Camellia sinensis, 290 nucleotides. The record is from RefSeq and is a predicted model, not a curated record. Lineage: Eukaryota; Viridiplantae; Streptophyta; Magnoliopsida; Ericales; Theaceae.